CCCAUUGUGCAUGAACUCAUACACGAGCAUGUUUCUUCCCUCUUCUUGGCAGUAACCAAGAAACUGCACAAGGUUUCUAUGAUGUAUCCUUGAGAGUAAUGUAACCUCGUUAGCGAACUCUCUCUUUCCUUGGUACGAGUUAUUCCCAAGAACCUUCACUGCAAUCUCUUUCCCAUCUUUUGUUAAACCAUAGUACACAAUUCCAAAACCUCCUGACCCAAUCCGCUUCUCAAACUUGUUUGUGGCUUCCUCGAUCUCGUAGAGUGUGAAGCAAUGCGCAGCGUCUCCAUGAGCUUCACUCAAGGUAGAUGACGCUCUUUGAACAUGCGUGGGACGAGUUGUUAACUCUGCUGAAAGUAAACCAAAAACGAAAAAGGUGAGUAACAUUAAUCCAAACACAAGAUGCAAAAGAGUAAAACAAAAUACCUGAAGUUUUCCUCAUCUUGUUAUCCUCCUUUAGUUUGCACAUGCACAUGAGAGAGAUAAUGGUGACGAUUAGGAGAACAAUAGCACCAACUGAUGCACCAAUGAUGACACCGAGCUUCCUCCCUUUAUCUCCACCUUCUUUAAGAUUAUAGUUCCCAGAGAAGCUGCACAAUAUACACACAUAGAAGAAAACAUGAGUGUACUGAUCUAGCUAAAAUAGUUUAACUCUGUACUUGAAUCAGACGAAAAGACUUACUUCGAGAUCACGUUCUUGGUCAGGCUGGAUGGUAUUUCCCCCGUUAACAUAUUGUUCUGCAAGUACCUGCAAACCAUCAUGCAAGUUAAGAACACAAUCAUUGUCCAACCACCAUAUCAGUUAAGAUCCUUUUCUAAGUUGCUUACAGUUCCGUAAGAUUUGGGAGCUUAGCCAACGAGGAAGGGAUCUUUCCGGUUAACCGGUUGUUCUCCAGGUGACUGCCACAUCAAAAAAAUUUAGUCCAUCAGCAUGUAUACAAAACCAAUAGACAACUUUGAUCCUAAAGAGAGUGUGUUGUUUACAUUAUUUUCAGGUUCAGACACCUAGAGAAGUCCGGUAUUGAACCUGUCAAAGAGUUCCCAUCAAGCAAUCUGCCAUGGACAAGAAGUUGCAACAUCAAUAACAGAGAAACACAUCUAUAUGUUUCUAAAGAUAACAAAAGUGAAGUAACUUACAGCUCAACCAAACCAGUCAACUGCGUCAGUUCAGAAGGUAUCUCUCCGGUCAAGUUCAUAUCCGACAGCUUGCUGAAGCAAUUAACAACAGGCAAAGUAAAAAAUAAUGAACCAUCAUAAGAUGCUCAUGCUUCAAAUAAAGCUACUUACACAGUAACAACUCUUGGCUGUGGAUCAGAACUGCAAGUCACCCACGACCACGGUGACGGUAAACAUGGGUCACCACCUUCUUGACCCCAUACAGUUGAAGAAUAUAGAGAUGCCAAAUCAGCCAUAACACUUGCUGCAAACACAAUCAACCACCUUAGAGACACCACAACACUAAACACUAAACCCACAAAAAAAAAGAAACGCAAAAAACUCACCAUCAACAGAACCAUCACUCUUCUCCAGGUACUUACUAAUCUCCAUAGCAUUCAGAAUAGGUCCUCUCGAGGAAUCAGCCGUUUUAGCGAACCGGAAGUUGAGCACAUAAGGAAGGGUUAUGUUUACAUAGCCAGGCUCGUAAACCUUGUACGCUCUCUGAGUGUUCUCCUUGACGUCAACAAUAGAUUUGCUGUACUCAGGAUGAUCAGGCAGAAUCAACCUGAACUUCCUCGACUCGUCUUCAGCCAAAUCCUCUAUCUCAGCGAAGUAUGUGAAGGCCCGGCCGUUACCAGGGAAGCCUUCGAGAUUCAUCCUGUAAGUUAAGGACCCGUUGGUACCCACCACAGCCGUCUGCAUAACCUUCUGUGGAGGUUUGUCCAUCACCGCGCCGUUGUCGAUAGGGGAUGUGGUUGACACUCUCAUGGUACCAGCAGCAACAUCCACGAGAUAGUUAGCUUUCUUUAGCAAAUCAGAUUCCCAUAUUCUGUCAUAUGGAUCAUCCGGAUACCUGCAAUCAACAACUUAUUCUCUCCGCACAAUGUGGACUCAAGAAGCAGAUUAUGAACUACUACCUCACUUCACAUAUAUUCCCUCCGUUUCAUUUUAAAUAUUGUUGUACAGUUUAAAUUUUUGUUUCAUUAUAAAUGUGUUUUUAUAUUUUCAAUGCAAAUAUUUGAUGGAUUUUCCACUUUUAUCCUUAUCUCUCAGCUCGUUAAUUAACAAAUAAAACAGUGUAUUCGUUAGGGGUAUAAUAGAAAGUUUAAUGAUUUUAUUAAUGUGUGGGAGUAUUAAGAAACACAUUAAAUCACUAUUAUAAAUGCAUCAUUUUUUGCAAUUAUCAAUUUUUUUCAUAAGAAACAUUGUGAAAUAUUUUUUUUCUAAAACAUCUAUCCAAGGAAACGGACUAACCUCACAGGAUCUUCAGUUUCUGCACCGAAGUUUAUCCGUGCGGACACACUGAGAUGAAACUUGUCUUCAAACUCAGUGAGAUACAUUGAACCAUUCAACUGUCUAAGCUCAAGAGUGGAUAUAAACGGCUGUCCCGUCGUGGCAUUGGACAAACAAACACUAACACUAGGACUAGAAGCCAGAAACACCAGCUCCGCCGUUUCAACCGUGGCGGCUUCGGAGAUAACGAUGGUCGUCCAAUGAGUUGCUCCCAGGGAGAUAUCGAAUUUGGGAUACACAUUGUUGCUGUCGAAGUUGCCGUAAAGGAAAGUGGCUCUCACGAGGUAACGGUUCCUGCUUGUGACGUUGAGAGUGUAGCAGUAUUUUCUUGAGUCGGCAGGGAAGUGUCUUAGAGUGGUGUACUGAGUCUUUGUUUCGUUGAGUGAAGAUAUAUUAGCGGUUGCUCCGAAGAGAUGGUGAUCAUCAGGUGUCCAGUUAAGUCCAAGUUCAUCAGUGAAUGGCUCUGUGCCUCCACAAUCCAAGCUCACAAAACCUGCCCCCAUCAUCAACAAUAACAAAAGUUUGAGUUUUUAUGUUGGAAUCAAUUUCAAUUCCUACAAAGAUUCCAUUUUUUUCUCAAAUCUCAACUCAGGGAACUAACGAAAGGCGAGAUUUUCAAAAUAAAGGAGAAACCUUACUAAGAAAACAUCAGAGAGUACUCAAAAACAGACAAUUACCUGCGGAUUGAGCAGAUGAAGAAGUGAAGAGACAAGUUGAAGCUAGCAGACACGACAAAAGCAGUGAGACUCUCAUCAUCUCCAGCUCGGACAUAACACUGUUCAACAGUUUUACAAAAAAAGUGAAUGUGAUCUCAGAAAAGUUAGGGAAUAAUUAGAAAUUCCCAGAAACAGAACCUAAAGUUAAGUACUUGUCUUAAACUCUUGAGAGAGAUCUGAUUAACACAAUUAAAACACUUAAGGGGGGCGUGGAAGAGAUGAGUUUGUUUCUUCCUCGUUAAGUGUUUGCUUUUCUUAUGUGAGCAGCUUUUGCACCGGAGUGGAGGGAGAGAGAGAAAGGUAUUAAAGGUGAAAUAUGGGGUCCAUCUUCGCCUGGACUCUACUGGCUUCGAGUUUUUGACAUCUAACGGUUCUUAUGGCUUUACACUUAAUUUAAUGGUCCAGAUCAUGUGUGGUCCAACUUUUCAUAACGUAGAGGAUUCUCAGUCCACUGCUGUUUCUACCAAAACGGUGUCGUUUCAUGUUUCCCGAUAAGCGAAUUUUUAUUAUAAUCUACAUGUUUGUUUAAGUGAAAAUGAUUAUUUUGUAACUGAGAAAAACGAUAAAUAUUCUGAUAUAUCAUACGCUAAACAUGAAUCUGAUUAAUGACAGAAAUUCAGUUUUUAUUCGGUAUAUUCUUGACUUUAUUCUUUAUUUUUAUUUUGAUCAAGAUACUUGACUUUAUUUUGUCACAGAUACAAAGAUAAGUUUUUGUUUUGAACCGUAUACGUCGAAGUGUUUUCGGUAUCCCAAGAAGAAGAAGGAAAUAAACAACAUUAAUUAUUCUCUUUAUCGACAUCAAAUAGAAAAGUUGAUCGUUAACUAAUCGACCCUAGUAGUGACUCAAACGAGUGGGACACACGUGACAGCAUUCCCAAAAUAAGUCUCCCACAUACAUGUUCUAUGGUUUUAUAAUGUUUGAAAUUUAGAAAACUUGAAAUUCAGUGUUUUCCAUAAUGUUUUAACAUAAUAAAAUGUAAGAUAUAACUUGAGUGAAAUAUUGUAGUCCUUUUCUAAUUAACAAUAAUGUAGACAAAAUGUACUCCUAUCAUCCUCAUUAGGCCCUGGCAUUUUAACCUGGAUCUGAAGACCCGAACCGAAACCGACCCAAAAAUACUUGAUCCGGAACCGGACCGAAAAUUUACAAGUACCUUUUGGAUCUAAAUUUUUUAACCCGAAAGAACCGAAACCGAAAAGGAACCGACCCGGAUAGAUCCGGACCCGAAGAACCGACCCGAUAAGAACCGAUUUGUACCCGACUUAAAAACAUGUAUAUCUAAAACUAUGAUUUUUUGUGUUCUAUUAUAUAUAUAUUAUUUUAUGAUUUAGUUGAAAUAUCUUUUGUGAACAACAUUUGUUAUUAUUUUUUAACAUUUUAAGUAAUAUAAAGCUUUAAAAUGUAAAAUUUAGAGUUUUUAAAUAUUUUAUUUUAAUUAUUAAUAGUUUCAUAUAAGUCAUUUUGUAAAAUUUUAGAUAUAUAUGACAAAUAUUCAACUAAGUUGAUGGAAUUGGGUAUAUCAUGUCCUUUUCAAAUCCUAAAUACCCGAACCUGACCCGGACCCGAUAUGGACCCGAAAAAUUACGGGUAUUUUAUGGGUAUUUUAAUUAUAGACCUGAACCGACCCGGAUCCGAGAAGAACCGACCUGAACCGAAAAUUUCUAAGUACCUAUUGGGUCUAAAUAUUUAGGACCCAAAAAGACCCGGACCCGAAAGAACCGGCCCGAACCCGACCCGAAGACCCGAACUGCCCAGGCCUAAUCCUCAUAUUAAGAAAUUGACAAAUUCAAAGUCAUCAAUCAAUGUUAUAAUUUUUUUGGCAAAUAAGUGGUAAAAAGAUUUUGUAGAUAGAUUAAAACAGAGCAUGGAUAUGUUCAAGACUUCAAGUUGUGUGAUCCUGUAGAUAGAUUUGAAAAAGGUUUGAAUAAGAAAUUUAGAUAUAUCAAUUAGGGUUAAACACCAGAAUUUAAUUAAUCAUUCCUAAGCAUGAUGUGAUCAAUAUCUUAAUUAUACAGAUAGUCAGAUUUUGUUCGGAUAUAGUUGAACUUGUUUUUUACUUUAUUUUCGUCAAGCUACUGUAUUGAAAAUUGUAAAAAGGCUAAAAUAUUUUUAUUUUCGAAAACGCCAAUAAAAUGCAUGGAUCAAUUAAAAGGUAAAAUAUUUUUUUUUGCAUUGAGACUAAUAAUACUCCAGCAACCGUCAAACAUUGAGAAGAUGGCACCAUAGGGUUUAGGAAGAUUAGACAAACUUGAGAUAUGAGUGUUUAACUGUUUUAUCGACUUCCUAAACCAUUGUCGCAUCGGCCAAUGAGCACUCUGUCUCUUGCAUUACUAAAAUGGAGUAUGUUUUUUUUUUUGGGUCAAAAAAUGGAGUAUGUUUCUUUUGCCUUUCCCAAUAGGCGUUAGAAUCUUCUCUUCGUUUAAGUACGUUUCAAACUCUAAUUGUAUUCGACGUAUUGUUUUUAUUUUAUUCAGUCGAAACUCCAUUUGUAUUUUCUCUCCAUUUGGAUCAUCUGUACUAAAUUUUUAAGAGGCAAACACUGCAUGACAAGAUCCUUUUAUUGUGUGAACACUCCGACAAAAACUAAACCAUCUCUUUGUGUAAACUUGGUGGUUUCUAUUAUGGACUUGAUUUAUGAAAAAAAGGUAAGAAAUCACUUAAAAUUAGGUAAGUAAUGGGGCACAAGGUUUCUAUGAUGUAUCCUUGAGAGUAAUGUAACCUCGUUAGCGAACUCUCUCUUUCCUUGGUACGAGUUAUUCCCAAGAACCUUCACUGCAAUCUCUUUCCCAUCUUUUGUUAAACCAUAGUACACAAUUCCAAAACCUCCUGACC
RNAcentral lists this long non-coding RNA (5997 nucleotides) under Brassica napus (rape). Its description in RNAcentral is "long non-coding RNA (BNAP_LNC012970)". Lineage: Eukaryota; Viridiplantae; Streptophyta; Magnoliopsida; Brassicales; Brassicaceae. The record is from RNAcentral.